This is a non-coding RNA of Momordica charantia (bitter melon), 586 nucleotides long. NCBI's taxonomy places the organism in Eukaryota, Viridiplantae, Streptophyta, Magnoliopsida, Cucurbitales, Cucurbitaceae. The record is from RefSeq and is a predicted model, not a curated record.
AAGGGUAGAUAGAUACCCUAUAAAAGGGAGACAUUGAGGAGUGUUCGCGCAUCCCACCUCAUCCCACACAAGUGUAUUUCUUACUUAACUGUGUCAUCCUUCCCAAGGUGGCGUCUAGAAACCCUAUAUUCAACAAAGAAGUCUUGCGCUACAUUCAUAAAAAUAAAGGCUGAAGGAAUGAGUCAAGAAAAGAGCACAUGAUCCAUAGGAGAAGUGGGGAAGCAUUCUUAUGUCAAAGCAUGAAGUCGCAUGGGUUCACAGUGCAAUAAUUAUCCCACACGGAAAUUUUACCAUGCCCACACACUUUCUAGUUGGGUACCAAAAAAUUAGAGCUCGAUAUAAAAGGAAAAUGAGGACCCAACCGUCACAGACAGAUCCCAGGAGAGCAAUAUUUCUUACGCGUAACUAAAGACAAGGAAGGGAAUCACACGUUUUUGGGAAGAAGUUGACAAUAGAAGGAAGAAGCUGUCGACUUCAUGUUGCUGUCGACUUUUCAGGCUGCGUUUUUGUUUUCUUCUUAAAAAUGAGUUGCUUCUUUUACUUACCCAUUUCGUUUUCCUCCUCCCUUAUGAAUUAAACCCCAUUU